RNAcentral lists this ribosomal RNA (1273 nucleotides) under Digenea sp. JAM_17N37. Its description in RNAcentral is "partial 28S ribosomal RNA". It matches the Rfam family "Eukaryotic large subunit ribosomal RNA", at positions 87 to 919 of the family's 3401-position model. The record is from RNAcentral. Lineage: Eukaryota; Metazoa; Platyhelminthes; Trematoda.
CGGCGAGUGGAACAGGGAAAAGCCCAGCACCGAAGCCUGUGGCCGUUUGGUUACUAGGCAAUGUGGUGUUUAGGUCGUCCUUCGGGGAUGUUACCUCACUCCAAGUCCAGCAAUGAGUAUGGUUAUUCAGACUUGGCCCAGAGAGGGUGAAAGGCCCGUGGGGGUGAGGUUCAAUUGUGUUAGCAUCUCCCUAGGUAGACCUUGGAGUCGGGUUGUUUGUGAUUGCAGCCCAAAGUGGGUGGUAAACUCCAUCCAAGGCUAAAUACUUGCACGAGUCCGAUAGCGAACAAGUACCGUGAGGGAAAGUUGAAAAGUACUUUGAAGAGAGAGUAAACAGUGCGUGAAACCGCUCAGAGGUAAACGGGUGGAGUUGAACUGCAAGCUUUGAGAAUUCAGCUGGUGAGUGUGAUUUGGGCAUUCAGCUGGUGAGUGUGUCAUGGGCUUGGUCAUUUUUCGGCCGGCCUCUAGAGUCCGCUUAGCUGCGGGUCCUUGCUCUUUCGGGGGUAGGGAUGUGCGUUGCGCUUGUCAAGUGCUGUGCGCUCUGGGGGUUACCGGGCUGGCUUGCCAGUGCACUUUCUCGGAGUGGUCACCACGACCGGCGUUGUUGCCGUGCUGCUGUAGUCGAACUAGUCAGGUAUGGUCCUUGUGGCUGAAUUUGGCUAGGAUGGCAGGUAGCUCAUUGGUUGGCUUGCCAACCUUUGGGUGUAAUCAGCUGACUGCAGUGGUUUUGUGCAAUACGUCGGAGACGGCGGCUUCAGGUGUUUGCUUAUGUGCCGUUGGCUGGCAGUGUCGGGUUUGACUGGCGUGUUACUUGCUUCGGUAGGUCCGUCGGUAGCUCGGUGCUGUUUGGUUGGCGGUUGCAUUUGUGAUACCAUUAUUGGGCCCAUAGUCUGUGGUGUAGCAGCAAACGAUCCACCUGACCCGUCUUGAAACACGGACCAAGGAGUUUAACAUGUGCGCGAGUCAUUGGGCGUUACGAAACCCAAAGGCGUAGUGAAAGUAAAGGUUCGGCUUGUCCGAGCUGAGGUGAGAUCCUGUGGCUUCUCGUGCGAGGUACCACCAAGCAUGUGAGUUGCAGGCGCAUCACCAGCCCGUCUCAUGGUGUAGUCGCGUGGCCUUGUGUCGCGUGCGUCAUCGGGGCGGAGCCUGAGCGCACACGUUGAGACCCGAAAGAUGGUGAAUCUAUGCNUGCGCAGGUUGAAGCCAGAGGAAACUCUGGUGGAGGAUCCNCAGGCGAUUCUGACGUGCAAAUCGAUCGUCUAACGUGAGUAUA